Triticum dicoccoides is the source of this 253-nucleotide long non-coding RNA. RefSeq lists it as uncharacterized. The transcript has 3 exons. Lineage: Eukaryota; Viridiplantae; Streptophyta; Magnoliopsida; Poales; Poaceae. The record is from RefSeq and is a predicted model, not a curated record.
UGUUGAUGGAUCACCUGCUGAUGUUGCUGGGUUAUGUGUCGGUGAUGUUAUUGUAAAAUGCGGUGAAAAAGUUCUUCUGACUGCUCCAGAGUUUGGUUCAAUGUUAUUGGAUGCUGCGGUGGCCCAUGUUGAAUCCUUUGGAGGUUGUGAUGGAGACAUGAUAAUUGAGGUUGCGAUAAAGCGACGAAGAGAUGGCAACACACUAUCAAAAACUAUAGUUGUGGAGAUGCUGAAAGAGAACAAUUAUAACAGG